RNAcentral lists this ribosomal RNA (200 nucleotides) under uncultured bacterium. Its description in RNAcentral is "partial 16S ribosomal RNA". It matches the Rfam family "Bacterial small subunit ribosomal RNA", at positions 137 to 334 of the family's 1533-position model. The record is from RNAcentral.
UGGGGAGUAGCCGGGCUAACGCCCCGGGGUAAUACCGCAUACGGUUGCCGAGGGGAGGUCCCUUGGCAAAGAAACCUCCGGGGCACAGAGAGGGGCUCGCGGCCUAUCAGCUAGUUGGUGAGGUAACGGCUCACCAAGGCGUCGACGGGUAGCUGGUCUGAGAGGAUGGCCAGCCACAUUGGGACUGAGAGACGGCCCAG